ACUCCUACGGGAGGCAGCAGUGGGGAAUCUUGGACAAUGGGCGCAAGCCUGAUCCAGCCAUGCCGCGUGAGUGAUGAAGGCCUUAGGGUCGUAAAGCUCUUUCGCCAGGGAUGAUAAUGACAGUACCUGGUAAAGAAACCCCGCUACUCCGUGCCAGCAGCCGCGGUAAUACGGAGGGGUUAGCGUUGUUCGGAAUUACUGGGCGUAAAGCGCACGUAGGCGGAUUGGAAAGUUGGGGGUGAAAUCCCCAGGGCUCAACCCUGGAACUGCCUCCAAAACUACCAGUCUAGAGUUCGAGAGAGGUGAGUGGAAUUCCGAGUGUAGAGGUGAAAUUCGUAGAUAUUCGGAGGAACACCAGUGGCGAAGGCGGCUCACUGGCUCGAUACUGACGCUGAGGUGCGAAAGUGUGGGGAGCAAACAGGAUUAGAUACCCUGGUAGGAUAGCG
This 446-nucleotide ribosomal RNA is filed under the name uncultured bacterium. RNAcentral describes it as "bacterial SSU rRNA". It matches the Rfam family "Bacterial small subunit ribosomal RNA", at positions 335 to 799 of the family's 1533-position model. The record is from RNAcentral.